UGGAAUUCGGCUUAGAGUUUGAUCCUGGCUCAGAUUGAACGCUGGCGGCAGGCCUAACACAUGCAAGUCGAGCGGCAGCACAAGGGAGUUUACUCCUGAGGUGGCGAGCGGCGGACGGGUGAGUAAUGCCUAGGGAUCUGCCCAGUCGAGGGGGAUAACAGUUGGAAACGACUGCUAAUACCGCAUACGCCCUACGGAGGAAAGGAGGGGACCUUCGGGCCUUCCGCGAUUCGAUGAACCUAGGUGGGAUUAGCUAGUUGGUGAGGUAAUGGCUCACCAAGGCGACGAUCCCUAGCUGUUCUGAGAGGAUGAUCAGCCACACUGGGACUGAGACACGGCCCAGACUCCUACGGGAGGCAGCAGUGGGGAAUAUUGCACAAUGGGCGCAAGCCUGAUGCAGCCAUGCCGCGUGUAUGAAGAAGGCCUUCGGGUUGUAAAGUACUUUCAGCGAGGAGGAAGGCGUUAAGGUUAGUAACCUUAGCGAUUGACGUUACUCGCAGAAGAAGCACUGGCUAACUCCGUGCC
This 525-nucleotide ribosomal RNA is filed under the name uncultured bacterium. Its description in RNAcentral is "bacterial SSU rRNA". It matches the Rfam family "Bacterial small subunit ribosomal RNA", at positions 1 to 509 of the family's 1533-position model. The record is from RNAcentral.